Molecule: ribosomal RNA, 466 nt
Filed under: uncultured bacterium
Lineage: Bacteria
Description: partial 16S ribosomal RNA
Rfam family: Bacterial small subunit ribosomal RNA
Source: RNAcentral
GACGAACGCUGGCGGCGUGCUUAACACAUGCAAGUCGAACGAUGACGACCGAGCUUGCUCGGUCUGAUUAGUGGCGAACGGGUGAGUAACACGUGAGCAACCUGCCCUUCACUCUGGGAUAACCUCGGGAAAUCGGGGCUAAUACCGGAUAUGAGCUCCUGUCGCAUGGCGGGUGUUGGAAAGUUUUUCGGUGAAGGAUGGGCUCGCGGCCUAUCAGUUUGUUGGUGAGGUAGUGGCUCACCAAGGCGAUGACGGGUAGCCGGCCUGAGAGGGCGACCGGCCACACUGGGACUGAGACACGGCCCAGACUCCUACGGGAGGCAGCAGUGGGGAAUAUUGCACAAUGGGCGAAAGCCUGAUGCAGCGACGCCGCGUGAGGGAUGACGGCCUUCGGGUUGUAAACCUCUUUCAGCAGGAAGAAGCGAAAGUGACGGUACCUGCAGAAGAAGCGCCGGCUAACUACGUG